AGGAUGAUCAGCCACACUGGAACUGAGACACGGUCCAGACUCCUACGGGAGGCAGCAGUGGGGAAUAUUGCACAAUGGGCGCAAGCCUGAUGCAGCCAUGCCGCGUGUAUGAAGAAGGCCUUCGGGUUGUAAAGUACUUUCAGUAGGGAGGAAGGUGGUUAAGUUAAUACCUUAAUCAUUUGACGUUACCUACAGAAGAAGCACCGGCUAACUCCGUGCCAGCAGCCGCGGUAAUACGGAGGGUGCAAGCGUUAAUCGGAAUUACUGGGCGUAAAGCGCAUGCAGGUGGUUUGUUAAGUCAGAUGUGAAAGCCCUGGGCUCAACCUAGGAAUCGCAUUUGAAACUGACAAGCUAGAGUACUGUAGAGGGGGGUAGAAUUUCAGGUGUAGCGGUGAAAU
RNAcentral lists this ribosomal RNA (398 nucleotides) under Vibrio cholerae. RNAcentral's name for it is "bacterial SSU rRNA". It matches the Rfam family "Bacterial small subunit ribosomal RNA", at positions 297 to 687 of the family's 1533-position model. Lineage: Bacteria; Pseudomonadati; Pseudomonadota; Gammaproteobacteria; Vibrionales; Vibrionaceae. The record is from RNAcentral.